GUCGAGCGGACAGAAGGGAGCUUGCUCCCGGAUGUUAGCGGCGGACGGGUGAGUAACACGUGGGUAACCUGCCUGUAAGACUGGGAUAACUCCGGGAAACCGGAGCUAAUACCGGAUAGUUCCUUGAACCGCAUGGUUCAAGGAUGAAAGACGGUUUCGGCUGUCACUUACAGAUGGACCCGCGGCGCAUUAGCUAGUUGGUGAGGUAACGGCUCACCAAGGCGACGAUGCGUAGCCGACCUGAGAGGGUGAUCGGCCACACUGGGACUGAGACACGGCCCAGACUCCUACGGGAGGCAGCAGUAGGGAAUCUUCCGCAAUGGACGAAAGUCUGACGGAGCAACGCCGCGUGAGUGAUGAAGGUUUUCGGAUCGUAAAGCUCUGUUGUUAGGGAAGAACAAGUGCAAGAGUAACUGCUUGCACCUUGACGGUACCUAACCAGAAAGCCACGGCUAACUACGUGCCAGCAGCCGCGGUAAUACGUAGGUGGCAAGCGUUGUCCGGAAUUAUUGGGCGUAAAGGGCUCGCAGGCGGUUUCUUAAGUCUGAUGUGAAAGCCCCCGGCUCAACCGGGGAGGGUCAUUGGAAACUGGGAAACUUGAGUGCAGAAGAGGAGAGUGGAAUUCCACGUGUAGCGGUGAAAUGCGUAGAGAUGUGGAGGAACACCAGUGGCGAAGGCGACUCUCUGGUCUGUAACUGACGCUGAGGAGCGAAAGCGUGGGGAGCGAACAGGAUUAGAUACCCUGGUAGUCCACGCCGUAAACGAUGAGUGCUAAGUGUUAGGGGGGUUUCCGCCCCCUUAGUGCUGCAGCUAACGCAUUAAGCACUCCGCCUGGGGGAGUACGGUCGCAAGACUGAAACUCAAAGGAAUU
This 871-nucleotide ribosomal RNA is filed under the name Bacillus altitudinis. Its description in RNAcentral is "bacterial SSU rRNA". It matches the Rfam family "Bacterial small subunit ribosomal RNA", at positions 61 to 911 of the family's 1533-position model. Lineage: Bacteria; Bacillati; Bacillota; Bacilli; Caryophanales; Bacillaceae. The record is from RNAcentral.